UACUGCUAAUGCAGCUUUACAUAAACGAGCUACAAGUUGCCGAAAUUUAUGAGGCUGAGAAGUUUUUGAUGUGUGUUCUUUCUGUAGAUUCCUAAAUGUUCCAUUCUUCCAUUCCAUUCCAUGGUUGCUAGAGCAGAGGUGUCCUCGUCUGAUAUUCUGUUAAAUGGGGAUUUAAGAUUUUCAGAAUUUAUGUAUGUCGGGGACCUGUUUGUUGGUUUGUACGAGUUAGUACAACAGACGUAGGAGCUUCCGAGCUUAUCGCCUUAAAUUUGUGGUUGCUGCUACUAUUGGGCUUUCAAGGCUUUUUAGGCAGAUUUUUUGGCGUAAAUCACUUUUUGUUGUGAUGGACGAUGGUGGUUGCAGCAGGUGGGGGUGGAGAAGAGGACGAGAAGAGUUAAAAGGAGAAGAAAGCGGUGAAGCUGACACCAAUUUAUCUAUAGAGUAGAUGCUUAAUGUACCCAAAGUUGAACAUUGAUGUAUCUGGCUCUAAGGUUUUAUGAACGUAGUUUCUUUACUUGUAAUUAGUUAUAGAUGAUCUUUUGCUCA
Molecule: long non-coding RNA, 546 nt
Organism: Spinacia oleracea (spinach)
Lineage: Eukaryota; Viridiplantae; Streptophyta; Magnoliopsida; Caryophyllales; Amaranthaceae
Exons: 2
Source: RefSeq, a predicted model, not a curated record